Daphnia carinata is the source of this 609-nucleotide long non-coding RNA. RefSeq lists it as uncharacterized. Lineage: Eukaryota; Metazoa; Arthropoda; Branchiopoda; Diplostraca; Daphniidae. The record is from RefSeq and is a predicted model, not a curated record. The transcript is spliced from 4 exons.
CGGAAAAAAGAAAAAAGUGUGAUUUUUUUUUCCGAAAUGUUUUUUUUUUUUUUUUUUGGGUAAAACGGAUUGCCAUAUAACAGUGGUUAAAGAAAGAUCUUACAUGGUAGUGGACAAAAAGACACUGCUAUAAAGUUACUACUGGAAAUCCUAAAGGAAUUUUGCCUUUUCAUAUCAGGACGAAAAAGUAUUAGGGCCACCUACCUGUAUCAUACUAUUUGUACGAUAAAUCCGGUCUUCUAAGAGAAGUCAUGGUCACAAUUUUUUAAAAUAUCUUUCAUCACAAACUGUUGUCAUGCCCAAGCUUUUUGAAAAGGAAACAAGAUGGGAUUAACUUUUGAUUACAUAUUUAAUCAACACUUAUCCAUAUGGAGAGUGCCAACAAAUUAACCACACAGAUCAUAUACAAGAUUGAGUUACUGCAUCUGCUUCUGCUGUUACCACUCAAACUGUUCCUUGAUUCAUACCGAAGAAAUUCUGCUGAACAAUAAAAUGCACACACUGGAGAAUAAUAUUACGUUCAUGCAAAAUUUCACCUUGCAACAGCUGUAAAAAAAUUUAAUCUUGGUUUAAUCUAAGGUUACAGGCAAAUAAAUUUUUUAAAUAAAA